This 247-nucleotide long non-coding RNA is filed under the name Homo sapiens (human). RNAcentral describes it as "non-protein coding lnc-HSPA4-6:1". Lineage: Eukaryota; Metazoa; Chordata; Mammalia; Primates; Hominidae. The record is from RNAcentral.
UUCUCCGCCAGAUCAUGGGUCAGGCCAAGAAGCAUGCGAAGUUGAUCCCCCUUUUUGUAUUUAUUGGAACUGGAGGUAUUGGAGCAGCACUGUUUCUCUCGCCUCUGACAUUGUUCAAUCCAGAUGUUUGUUGGGACAGAAAGACUAACCCAGAGCCCUGAACAAACUGGGUCCCAAUGAUCAAUACAAGUUCUACUCAGUGAAUGUGGAUUACAGCAAAUUGAAGAAAGAAGGUUCAGAUUUCUAA